UGCUGCUGCUGCUUCUGUGUUUGACACUUUUGUCGAUUGUCUCACAAAAAAACUCAAUUCCUCAAUCAGAAAUCUCGAAAAUCGUGUACACCCCAAACAACCUUUCGUUUAACUCCAUUUUACAAGCCUAUAUCAGAAACGGCCGGUUUUUCAACUCCUCCACUACUUCCAAACCGGUUAUCAUCGUCACUCCGACGGUGGAAUCUCAGGUCGCCGGAGUUGUUGUUUGUACCAAACAGUUAAAUUUACAGCUGAAAAUCCGUAGCGG
This 268-nucleotide unclassified non-coding RNA is filed under the name Hevea brasiliensis (rubber tree). Lineage: Eukaryota; Viridiplantae; Streptophyta; Magnoliopsida; Malpighiales; Euphorbiaceae. The record is from RNAcentral.